AUAUCCAGGGUAGCCUAGUGGACAUGGCAUCUUCCCGGUAAGCGGAACACUGUGGGUUCGAUUCCCAUCCCAUACU
RNAcentral lists this transfer RNA (76 nucleotides) under Cordylochernes scorpioides. Its description in RNAcentral is "tRNA-Thr". The stretch from base 8 to 71 matches the Rfam family "tRNA", at positions 5 to 66 of the family's 71-position model. Rfam says of the family: Transfer RNA (tRNA) molecules are approximately 80 nucleotides in length. Their secondary structure includes four short double-helical elements and three loops (D, anti-codon, and T loops). Lineage: Eukaryota; Metazoa; Arthropoda; Arachnida; Pseudoscorpiones; Chernetidae. The record is from RNAcentral.